Molecule: RNA transcript, 2328 nt
Organism: Mustela erminea (ermine)
Lineage: Eukaryota; Metazoa; Chordata; Mammalia; Carnivora; Mustelidae
Gene: MGAT4D
Gene name: MGAT4 family member D
Exons: 12
Source: RefSeq, a predicted model, not a curated record
GGGCGCUGCGCGUAGCUUCCACUCGCCCGGCUUCGAGCUCCAUGAGGACCAAGCAGGUGAACGUGCUGAUCGCGCUGGCCGCCGUCAUGCUCUUCAGCUUCUCCUGCUUCUGCAUCUCCAGGAUGACUCAAACCAGUAAUCAAUUAAUUAAUUGUAGAAACCAUAUUUUGGAGUUUAAGGAAAAAAUGCUACGUUUAAAAAACAAAACUGAAAGAAAUCGCCAAGAGCUGAUCAAAGCCUUGAGUAAAAUGAAGUAUGAAAUGACACAGAGAAAAAAUAUGCCCAUAAACUUAGUUGAGAAGAAAAUGAAGACCUUGGGUAAGAGUGAAACAGCAUCUAAUACAUUUGAAAUCCUAAAGUUCUUUUUUCCUCAUUUAAGGAAAGCAGGCAGAAUUUAUCCUGAUGUAAUCAUUGGCAAAGAGAAAACAGGUGUCUCUUUUGCACUGGGUAUUUCCACUGUUAACAGAGGAAAUCAGAGUUACCUGAAGCAAACACUGAAUUCCGUUGUCUCCAGGAUGACUCCUUCGGAAGAGAAGGACUCCGUGGUGAUCGUCUCUGUUGCAGAUGGAAAUGAAGAUUACUUAAAAUCUGUUGUUGACAUGAUUACAAAAAGAUUCGAAAGACAACUAAGGUCUGGAUCAUUAGAAAUCAUUUCAAUACCUGCCUUUUUUUAUCCAAACAUAUUCCACGUCAAGCAGUCAACUGAGGACUCCGGAAGAUCAGAGAGUUGGCGUAUCAAACAAGUACUGGAUUUUUGUUUUUUGAUGCUAUAUGCCCAACCCAAGGCCAUGUAUUAUUUACAGCUAGAAGAUGAUAUCAUAGCUAAAAAGACAUACCUUACAAAAAUCACAGAUUUUGUGCAUAAUAUCACUUCCAAAAAUUGGUUUUAUAUUGAGUUUUCAAUUCUUGGAUUCAUAGGAAAGCUUUUUAAAUCUGAGGACUUAACUGACUUUGUACGUUUUUUUUUAAUGUUCUACAAAGAUAAACCCAUAGACUUGCUCUUGGGGGACAUUUUUCAGGUAAAGAUGUGUAACCCAGGAGAAACUCCUGAAAAAUGUGCAGAACGAAAUAAACAAAUUCGUAUUCAAUAUAAGCCUUCUCUUUUCCAGCAUGUGGGUAUAGAGUCAUCACUCCCUGGUGAAGAACAAUAUUCCAAAGAGCUUCAUAAUUCAAAUACCUUCUUUAAAAAUGAUGAACAUCAUUCUUUGGAAAAAAUGGCAUAAUAAGGAUUAGUCUUAGCUCUCAACUUACUUCAUAGUGGAUAAGAGACUGUAUCAUAUAAAAAAAUUUAAGCCUUUGAUAAUAGAAAAAUAUGAAGAUAAUAAGCAUAACAAGAAAAAAACUCUAUAAUACCUUGGAACCUCAGAUAACCUUGCUUUCUCAUGGCCUCUUUCAGAAAUUAUAAUAAUGAAAAUGCAUAAUUGUAUAGAAGAGGAGAAAACAAUAAACUACUAGAAUUGAAAGUACUAAACUACCUCUUACAUCAAGAAAAAUUAAAAUAUUUAUGAUACUUAUACUAUUACUAUUAUAAUUUAAUUUAAAAAUAGUAAAAGCAGGGAAGUUUUCAAAAUUAAGAAAUGUAUUUUGUUAACUUAGUGAUGCUGUCACAUAAUCUCAUUAAAUAAAUAUCUACAAGUUUAGAAAAUUGCCAUUGCCACAGACAAGUUCUGUGUAUAUUGGAGUAUGUUCUUAUCCAUUUUGUUAGGACAUCUAAAGAAAUAGAAAGCACAAUUUAAGCAACCCUGGCUCUAAAUAUUUAAAGAUAUCUUCUUUUAAAUAAAUUCAUUUAAAACUAUAAACUUACCCCGAAGUGCCAUUGAAUUACCAACCUCUUGAUAUUUAGGUAUUCUGAUAGUCAUUCAGUUCUAGAGAUUUAUAAUUUCUCUUAUUAUUAUCUUUUUAGCUCCGGGGGUAGUUGGUAGUUUUGUGGGUUUUUUUUUUUCUUUCAAAUGUAUUGGUUUUUGCCAUCUUUUACUGUUGAUUUCUUAUUUAAUUACAUUGAUAUUAGUGGAUUUUAUCUGUGUGAUGAUUUGAGAAUUGUUAUGAAUUGUACACCCCUUUUCAAAUAUGUUGCAUUCAUUUGUUUUUUAUAAAUGUUAGUUUUGUGCUUUAAAAAUAUCUUUUUAAAAUAUUCCUAUUUAUUGGGUAAAGGACUCUUAUAUGAGGCUUUUUAAUUUACAUUUUCAAGUUCUUUUAAUUCUAAUGAAUUUUUGUCUGCUUGAAUGAUCUAUCAGUUUCUUAGAGAAGUCUAUUAAACUCCCCUAUUUCUUCUUGUUAUUCUUUCGGGUUUUAUUUUAUUUGCUUUGAGAAAUAAUAAGAGAUGUUUCU